CCGUGACGAGGGGCUUUGACGCGCGGCCCAUACUCAGGCCGCCGGGACCGCGCCGAGCCACUGGCGAGACCGACCGCGCCGUGU
The submitters of this non-coding RNA (84 nucleotides) gave its source as unclassified sequences. The record is from Rfam.